RNAcentral lists this transfer RNA (68 nucleotides) under Oxymeris dimidiata (dimidiate auger shell). RNAcentral's name for it is "tRNA-Thr". It matches the Rfam family "tRNA". Rfam says of the family: Transfer RNA (tRNA) molecules are approximately 80 nucleotides in length. Their secondary structure includes four short double-helical elements and three loops (D, anti-codon, and T loops). The record is from RNAcentral. Lineage: Eukaryota; Metazoa; Mollusca; Gastropoda; Neogastropoda; Terebridae.
GUAACAGUAGCUUAACAUAGAGCAUUGGUCUUGUAAAUCAAAAGUGAAUUAUUAUUAUUCCUGUUACU